UACGUAGGGCGCAAGCGUUGUCCGGAAUUAUUGGGCGUAAAGAGCUCGUAGGCGGUUUGUCGCGUCUGUCGUGAAAGCCCACGGCUUAACCGUGGGUCUGCGGUGGAUACGGGCAGACUAGAGGGAGGUAGGGGAGAAUGGAAUUCCCGGUGUAGCGGUGAAAUGCGCAGAUAUCGGGAGGAACACCGGUGGCGAAGGCGGUUCUCUGGGCCUGUACUGACGCUGAGGAGCGAAAGCGUGGGGAGCGAACAGG
This 253-nucleotide ribosomal RNA is filed under the name uncultured bacterium. RNAcentral describes it as "partial 16S ribosomal RNA". It matches the Rfam family "Bacterial small subunit ribosomal RNA", at positions 524 to 776 of the family's 1533-position model. The record is from RNAcentral.